Molecule: ribosomal RNA, 354 nt
Filed under: Macrauchenia sp. MW-2017
Lineage: Eukaryota; Metazoa; Chordata; Mammalia; Litopterna; Macraucheniidae
Description: 12S ribosomal RNA
Source: RNAcentral
AACAGGUUUGGUCCCAGCCUUUUUAUUAGCCCUUAGUAGACUUACACAUGCAAGCAUCCACGCCCCAGUGAGAAUGCCCUCUAAAUCCCAAUUAGGAUUAAAAGGAGCAGGUAUCAAGUACACCAUAUGGUAGCUCACAACACCUUGCUCAACCACACCCCCACGGGAUACAGCAGUGAUAAAAAUUAAGCCAUGAACGAAAGUUCGACUUAGCCAUACUAAACUUAGGGUUGGUAAAUUUCGUGCCAGCCACCGCGGUCAUACGAUUAACCCAAGUCAAUAAAAUCCGGCGUAAAGCGUGUCCAAGAUCAGCCAGCAACAAUAAUAAAGAUAAGCCCUACCUAAGCUGUAAAA